This 464-nucleotide ribosomal RNA is filed under the name uncultured bacterium. RNAcentral describes it as "partial 16S ribosomal RNA". It matches the Rfam family "Bacterial small subunit ribosomal RNA", at positions 28 to 507 of the family's 1533-position model. The record is from RNAcentral.
GACGAACGCUGGCGGCGUGCUUAACACAUGCAAGUCGAACGGAAAGGCCCUGCUUGCAGGGUACUCGCGUGGCGAACGGGUGAGUAAAACAUGGGUGUUCUGCGCUGCACUUCUUGAUAUGCCUGCAAGACAGGGUGUAUAAUCGCAUAUGGGCGAUUCUUAGUGUGAUGGUUGGAUAGAUUUUUCGGUGUAGGGUGAGCGCGCGGCCGAUCAGCUUGUUGGUGGGGUAGUGGGCUACCAAGCCGGCGACGGGUAGCCGGCCUGAGAGGGUGGGCGGCCACAUUGGGACUGAGAUACGGCCCAGACUCCUACGGGAGGCAGCAGUGGGGAAUAUUGCACAAUGGGCGGAAGCCUGAUGCAGCGACGCCGCGUGCGGGAUGACGGCCUUCGGGUUGUAAACUCCUUUCGCUUGUGACGAAGCUUUUGGGACGGUAAUCGAGAUAGAAGCACCCGCUAAAUUAGGG